RNAcentral lists this long non-coding RNA (786 nucleotides) under Coccomyxa subellipsoidea. RNAcentral's name for it is "long non-coding RNA (CSUB_LNC000770)". Lineage: Eukaryota; Viridiplantae; Chlorophyta; Trebouxiophyceae; Coccomyxaceae. The record is from RNAcentral.
CUGGGAAGUUGUUGUCCCCACUGGGUGAUGCAAAUCUCAGCCUUAGCCUAGCAUGAUCCAGGGCUUGGGUGUCGGGGGACUCAUACCCGCGAAUUGCCAUGGACGGUACGUUUGUUUCUCUUUCGAACGUAGACUAAUAAAUGCCUUACGCCAGCAAGUGUUCCAAAUUCUAGGAAACAUGAGUAUAAUAAAUUGGUCUGGAGUCUUGAUCUUUCUUACAGAGCCGCCCUGCCUGACGUGCAUAAACUGGUGACAUGGGCAGACGCAAGAUAGAAAGAUUCCAUGAUCGGUGGGUGAUGUACGCAGGGAGCAUCAUCACAGACGGUUCAGAACGUACAGAUUGCCAAAGGCCUCGCUCAAUGAGCCAGGUGAGCUCAAGGUUCUCCUCUAUUACCAUUGAGGCCUGCAAGCAUAUUGUGCCAUACCUGAGCAUUUAAAGCUGUCCACAGGUCCAAGCAGCAGACCGCAGGAUCCAGAGUCGCAGGUGGACUGGUCUGCAGCGUCCAGGUGAGUCCUGCAUCACGUCUUUAUCAGCCUUGUCACUUCCUUAGACCAGAAGCAAGCGAUGCAUGCAUCCUUUUACAUUCUCCUCCUUCUCUGCAUGACCAGAAUGUCCAGACGAUCCUUCCUCUUGGCAGGCACCAGCAUGUGGCACCUAUUGCAGGGUGAAGGGGCAGCUUGUAGCGGUGGGGCCGCAGCUGGGAGGCUUGGCCGCAUCUGUCGCUGUCGCCACACUGUGGCUCACUCGAAGAGGGCGCAGCGCCGGGUCUGGCAGCGGAGGCGGCU